UUCAAUUUAUUCAGAUCAUCUCCCCCAUCGCUUGGAGAUGAAUUUUUUGUCGUGUUUUAAUUUUCCGAAGAAACCCUUUCAGCUCUUUGUUGAUCCAGUUUCAAUGUGUCAAUGAAACGACGAACAACAAGAAGAAGAUAGGGUCAGCAGCUCAGAUUUCUGGGAUUGUAUUUAACUUCAGGGUUGUUUCUCAUACACGUCGGUGAUCAGUGAAGUCUCUAUCUUUCUGUAUCAUUUAAGCUCCAGCAAUUCAUUGCUCACGCUGUCUUCCAGGAAUCUAUGUGAUUGAUCAUUUGCGGGGAUCUUAAACCGUUACACAUGAUAUUAAGUCAGAGAGAUCGCCAUUGAAAAAUUCUACAAAGGUUAAAUGACUCUUGGAGUCAAAUAUGCGAGCUUUUACUCUGAGGAGGAAAGAUUACAAGCGAAGUGAUGGAGUUUUAAAAUUUUUCUCACCGAUUAUGUUAUGGACGAAAUUUACUUCAAGCCAGAAAAAGUCUGAUGGAUCUUUUUUUAUGCAUCCACGGAUUAUUACAAGGUGUGUAUAUAAUAACUCUUUUUAGAGGUUUCAAGAAAUAUAUGGUACCAUUCACAUUGCAUACUUUUGAUUGGAACUUGCACACCGGCCGUUUAUUUCAACUAGGAGUCAAAGAUUUUCUGGGUUAUUUUCCCAAGUAUUGUUGUGAUGAUGGGACUGUAAAUGAGAGACACAUUGUAAUUGGGAAAUCUUUCAAAAGUCAGCCUUAGGAUACAAGUGUAGAAUGCACUGGUAGUUUACCAAAAUCUAAUGUAGCAUAACAUAAUCUGCUUUCUCAUCCCAUUGCCAAAUGUUUGCCAGAUGUAUCUUUGGCUUUAGUACAAAUAUAAACUUCUUUGCUUAGAAUCGAUCUCUAUUAGUUGCUAAACUUCUUUAUAUUUUCUUUUCUUCCUAUUUGAAUCUGACAUUAUAUAUAAAUAUAUAUAUAUAUAUAU
Long non-coding RNA from Ziziphus jujuba (common jujube), 969 nucleotides. RefSeq lists it as uncharacterized. The transcript has 3 exons. Lineage: Eukaryota; Viridiplantae; Streptophyta; Magnoliopsida; Rosales; Rhamnaceae. The record is from RefSeq and is a predicted model, not a curated record.